AUUGCCUUAGUAACGGCGAGUGAAGCGGCAAAAGCUCAAAUUUGAAAUCUGGCACCUUCGGUGUCCGAGUUGUAAUUUGAAGAAGGUAACUUUGGAGUUGGCUCUUGUCUAUGUUCCUUGGAACAGGACGUCACAGAGGGUGAGAAUCCCGUGCGAUGAGAUGCCCAAUUCUAUGUAAAGUGCUUUCGAAGAGUCGAGUUGUUUGGGAAUGCAGCUCUAAGUGGGUGGUAAAUUCCAUCUAAAGCUAAAUAUUGGCGAGAGACCGAUAGCGAACAAGUACAGUGAUGGAAAGAUGAAAAGAACUUUGAAAAGAGAGUGAAAAAGUACGUGAAAUUGUUGAAAGGGAAGGGCUUGAGAUCAGACUUGGUAUUUUGCGAUCCUUUCCUUCUUGGUUGGGUUCCUCGCAGCUUACUGGGCCAGCAUCGGUUUGGAUGGUAGGAUAAUGACUAAGGAAUGUGGCUCUACUUCGGUGGAGUGUUAUA
RNAcentral lists this ribosomal RNA (482 nucleotides) under Debaryomyces hansenii. RNAcentral's name for it is "LSU rRNA". It matches the Rfam family "Eukaryotic large subunit ribosomal RNA", at positions 74 to 561 of the family's 3401-position model. Lineage: Eukaryota; Fungi; Ascomycota; Pichiomycetes; Serinales; Debaryomycetaceae. The record is from RNAcentral.